This 410-nucleotide long non-coding RNA is filed under the name Pan troglodytes (chimpanzee). RNAcentral's name for it is "long non-coding RNA NONPTRT014187". The record is from RNAcentral. Lineage: Eukaryota; Metazoa; Chordata; Mammalia; Primates; Hominidae.
UUAAAAAAUUUAUUGACUUUAUUUUGAGACCUAUGAUAUGUCUAUCUUGCAGACUGUUUCAUGUACUAAUGAGAACGUUCUGGUAGUGACAAAUUCCCUCAGAAUUUUUCUUGUCUGAAAAAGACUUUAUUUCUUCUUCAUUUAUGAAACAUAGUUUUUCUGGAUACAAAAUUCUUGGCUGACAGUUACUCCAUUUAAGGAGGCUAAAGAUAGGCUCUGGGUGCUUUCAAGGGUGAAGACUCUGCAUGAGUUUCCUGUUUAUAGAGAGUCUUUAUGAUGGCUUCAUCAGAUGUUGGUUGUAGUAACAAUAUGCUCAGUGUGUGACAAGAUUCGCUGUCUCCUGUGGGGUAGAAUGGCAGAGAUCUCUUGAAGCUUAUCUCAUUCCUCAGUGUGUGCAGUUAUUUAUUUAU